This 459-nucleotide long non-coding RNA is filed under the name Actinia tenebrosa (Australian red waratah sea anemone). Its description in RNAcentral is "uncharacterized LOC116308730, transcript variant X1". Lineage: Eukaryota; Metazoa; Cnidaria; Anthozoa; Actiniaria; Actiniidae. The record is from RNAcentral.
CCUAUGAUUCAUAAGAAGCCGUAUUGUAGAAGGUUUCUCAUAAGUUCAUCGCCUUAAACUAAGGAACAACAAAUAGAGACUUAAGAAUCUUGGCCCUACGACAAUGAAGUUUCGAUAUGCUAUCCUUGUUUGCCUGUGCUAUUUCGCCUUCGAUUUGAUUGUACAGAGCUCAAGCAUUCCAGAAACAGAAGGGGGAAAAGGCACAGAAGGUCAAGAAGGGACAGAAGGUCAAGAAAGGACAGAAGGUCAAGAAAGGACAGUGACAACCGGAAAUCAAGCAAGCGAUGGGUGCAAGAAAAUUGGCAAACUAUGCAGAACUGAUAGCGAUUGCACUGGAAUUUGUAAAAAUAAAUCGCUGGCAUGUAUGAAGGCAUCAUCAGGCCUAAAGAUUCCGACUAAAAAGUGCAAAUUAAUAUAAUGAACUAACAAAGGUCAAAUAAAAUGCAGUUUCCCGUCUAA